GGUUGGGGAGAUCAAAGAAUGCUUGAAUAUUUGGCGGGUCAGUUUCAACUCCGAUCCACUAGGGGGCGCGAAGAGACUGCUAGCGCGGGGUCCAUCCGGGGAUUCGCCGCUCUAGGCCCUAGCUCGUCUCUCAACUGCAGUUCCGCCAGCGCCCGACAGAUGGAGGGUGGGUCCUGUCUCCGAGUCGCCGGGAACCGUCCAGCAUCUUCUCACGUCGUCCAGUUUGACCUGCAGCCGACAUUCCUGGCGCCCCGGAGGAAGCAGCACGGUGCACAGGGGUCCCUGAGAGGUGUCCCCAUCCUGUCAAGAGACAGCUGGCCCAGACGAGUCCACUGCGUGCAGAGGCGUCAUGGAAGCUGUCAUGUCAGGAGCAUUCUAGACCGUGCUGUCCUUGAGAUGUUGGCUUGAAGAAAGGCAAGGUAACAUCGGAGAGCAAACCCUUGUCGUGACCUCCUGCCCUGUUGACCUCCCCAUCAUGCUGGGGGUGCUGCCUUGGAGGACACCUCGGGGAUGGGAACACUGGCCUCUCAGGAUGGUGACCCGGGUUCCAGCUUCCCUGGAGGAGCCUCCUCAUGUCACUCGGUCAUGUCCAACUCUUCGCAAGCCCAUGGACUGCAGCACACCAGGCGUCCCUGUCCUUUCACCAUCUCCUGGAGCUUGCUCAAACUCAUGUUCAUUGAAUCAGUGAUGCCGUCCAACCAUCUCAUCCUCUGUCGUCCCCCUCUCCUCCUGCCCUCAAUCUUUCCCAGGAUGAGGGUCUUUUCCACUAAGUUGCCUCUUCGCAUCAGGUGGCCAAAGUACUAGGAUCCAAUCCAGAAUACCAUAUUAUAU
Bos taurus (domestic cattle) is the source of this 831-nucleotide long non-coding RNA. NCBI's taxonomy places the organism in Eukaryota, Metazoa, Chordata, Mammalia, Artiodactyla, Bovidae. The record is from Ensembl.